Molecule: transfer RNA, 71 nt
Filed under: Cordylochernes scorpioides
Lineage: Eukaryota; Metazoa; Arthropoda; Arachnida; Pseudoscorpiones; Chernetidae
Description: tRNA-Gly
Rfam family: tRNA
About the family: Transfer RNA (tRNA) molecules are approximately 80 nucleotides in length.
Source: RNAcentral
GCAUCGGUGGUUCAGUGGUAGAAUGCUCGCCUGCCACACGGACGGCCCGGGUUCGAUUCCUGGCCGAUGCA